This is a long non-coding RNA of Brassica rapa (field mustard), 427 nucleotides long. RefSeq lists it as uncharacterized. The record is from RefSeq and is a predicted model, not a curated record. Lineage: Eukaryota; Viridiplantae; Streptophyta; Magnoliopsida; Brassicales; Brassicaceae.
GAAGAGCCUAACGCAAUCUGAGUCCAUAAACCAAGUGAGUAGAGGGAUUUGUCUACAAUGUGUUUUGUUGUAUCUUUGAAAAGCUGAAGAUCCCAUUCCUCUGCUUUGCUAAUACUUGCUUUGAUAUCAGUAAAGAGCUUCUUUGGUUUGAACUGUCCAACCAAUCCUAGCCACCUACAACGAUCAAUAGACCAUCUCGAUCAAAUCCAACAACACUGAAAAAGACAAAACAUCCAAAUGUUGUAAAGUCGUGUUCUUGAACUCAAAGCCUCAGCUAAAACCUUAAACAUCACUCAAACACCAUCUCUCUAAACCAAAUCCAACAAAAUCAACAACACUGAGAAAACGACAAAACAUCCAAAUGUCGUAAAGUCGUGUUCUUGAACUCAAAGCUAAAACCUUUAACGUAACACACUCAAACACCAAA